Pan troglodytes (chimpanzee) is the source of this 385-nucleotide long non-coding RNA. RefSeq lists it as uncharacterized. The transcript has 2 exons. NCBI's taxonomy places the organism in Eukaryota, Metazoa, Chordata, Mammalia, Primates, Hominidae. The record is from RefSeq and is a predicted model, not a curated record.
GUGGCCUGAUUAUAGCUCACUGUAGCCUCGAAAUUCUGGGCUGAAAUGAUCCUCCUGCCUCAGCCUCCAAAGUAGCUGAGACUACAGGCUGGUCUUGAACUCUUGGGCUGAAGAGAUUCUCCCACCUCAGCCUCCCAAGGUGUUGAGAUUACAAGCAUGAGCCACCUCACCUGGCCAAGAGCUAGUUGUUAAAAGAGCCUAGCACUACCCCCCUCUUUCUUGUUUCCUCUCUCACCAUGUGAUCUCCACACACAUUGGCUUGCCUUCCCUUUCUGACAUGAGCGGAAGCAGCCUGAGGCCCUCACCAGAUGUGGAUGCCAGUGCCAUGCUUCUUGUACAAUCUGCAGAAUCAUAAGCUAAAUACACCUCUUUUCUUUAUAAAUUA